Molecule: ribosomal RNA, 538 nt
Filed under: Bifidobacterium bifidum
Lineage: Bacteria; Bacillati; Actinomycetota; Actinomycetes; Bifidobacteriales; Bifidobacteriaceae
Description: bacterial SSU rRNA
Rfam family: Bacterial small subunit ribosomal RNA
Source: RNAcentral
UGGAAACGGGUGGUAAUGCCGGAUGUUCCACAUGAUCGCAUGUGAUUGUGGGAAAGAUUCUAUCGGCGUGGGAUGGGGUCGCGUCCUAUCAGCUUGUUGGUGAGGUAACGGCUCACCAAGGCUUCGACGGGUAGCCGGCCUGAGAGGGCGACCGGCCACAUUGGGACUGAGAUACGGCCCAGACUCCUACGGGAGGCAGCAGUGGGGAAUAUUGCACAAUGGGCGCAAGCCUGAUGCAGCGACGCCGCGUGAGGGAUGGAGGCCUUCGGGUUGUAAACCUCUUUUGUUUGGGAGCAAGCCUUCGGGUGAGUGUACCUUUCGAAUAAGCGCCGGCUAACUACGUGCCAGCAGCCGCGGUAAUACGUAGGGCGCAAGCGUUAUCCGGAUUUAUUGGGCGUAAAGGGCUCGUAGGCGGCUCGUCGCGUCCGGUGUGAAAGUCCAUCGCUUAACGGUGGAUCUGCGCCGGGUACGGGCGGGCUGGAGUGCGGUAGGGGAGACUGGAAUUCCCGGUGUAACGGUGGAAUGUGUAGAUAUCGGG